UACGUAGGGAGCAAGCGUUGUCCGGAAUCAUUGGGCGUAAAGCGCGCGUAGGCGGCCCGAUAAGUCCGCUGUAAAAGUCAACGGCUCAGCUGUUGAAAGCCGGUGGAUACUGUCGGGCUAGAGUACGGAAGAGGCAAGUGGAAUUCCUGGUGUAGCGGUGGAAUGCGCAGAUAUCAGGAGGAACACCCAUAGCGAAGGCAGCUUGCUGGGACGUUACUGACGCUAAGGCGCGAAAGCGUGGGGAGCGAACAGG
Molecule: ribosomal RNA, 253 nt
Filed under: uncultured bacterium
Lineage: Bacteria
Description: partial 16S ribosomal RNA
Rfam family: Bacterial small subunit ribosomal RNA
Source: RNAcentral